GCUAAACAGAGGUUUUAAAAACAGAGGUUUCAACAGAGGUUGCUGCUAACUGAAUUAUAAUCGUAUUGUGUUUAAUAAAGGUUGAUUUAUAUGCUAACUGAAUACCAUCCCUGAUCAUAUCGAGGCAUAUUAUACGAUUGGCAUGGUUACAUGAAUACGAUUUGGAGCCACAUCAUAUUCGAGCACACAUCUACGUUUGAUAUGCUUGCGAUGGAUCCAAAAAAGAAGAAGGAUAUAUUGGACGAUCUGAUUACGUUCAGCAAGUCUAAAGACUACUACAAGGAGAUUUUGUAGGGACAUGGUUGGUUUGUAUCAUGGCCAGAGCCAAGAAAUUUUCUAGGCAGGGUCGAGUGACUAACGGAAAAAGGCGGUGUAUCCGAAACCUUUGUAAUCAUCGAUUUUUCUGAUAUUUAAAUGAGUAAAACCAAUGAUGAUUAUAAAAGGUUGAUGGUAACUGGAUUAGCUACUUUUAAAGUUGUAUAGUGAUUCAUUGUUUAAUAAAAUGGGCUAUGUAAAACAUUAGUACUCGAUUGUAUUUAAUCUUUGCUUUAUUGUGUUAAGAAACGAC
RNAcentral lists this long non-coding RNA (568 nucleotides) under Helianthus annuus (common sunflower). The record is from RNAcentral. Lineage: Eukaryota; Viridiplantae; Streptophyta; Magnoliopsida; Asterales; Asteraceae.